GGCCCCUCUGUGAUUUAAAAGGUCUCCUAACUUCCUCAAUGUGCAUAUAUCAUCCUCUCCACUCUUAGCAGCUUUUGCUCAUCGGGGGACUCUGUUAUUGGGCAGCUCUUCAGCUGUGAGAUGGAGAACUGCAGCCUCUGCCGCUGUGGCAGUGAGACCGUGCGAGCCUCAUCCACCCUGCUUUUCACACUCUCCUACCCUGAUGAUAAAACUGGGAAGAACUAUGACUUUGCUCAGGUGCUGAAGCGAAGCAUCUGCCUGGACCAGAAUACACAGGCCUGGUGUGACACCUGUGAAAAGUACCAGCCCACGGUGAGUGGACUGUUGGACUGGA
This 334-nucleotide long non-coding RNA is filed under the name Pan troglodytes (chimpanzee). Its description in RNAcentral is "long non-coding RNA NONPTRT003432". The record is from RNAcentral. Lineage: Eukaryota; Metazoa; Chordata; Mammalia; Primates; Hominidae.